Molecule: transfer RNA, 73 nt
Filed under: Cricetulus griseus (Chinese hamster)
Lineage: Eukaryota; Metazoa; Chordata; Mammalia; Rodentia; Cricetidae
Rfam family: tRNA
About the family: Transfer RNA (tRNA) molecules are approximately 80 nucleotides in length.
Source: Rfam by way of RNAcentral
GGGGAUGUGACUUAACUGGUAGAGUGCCUGCCCACCAUGCACAAGGCCCUGGGUUCAAGUCCUAGCACCAUCU